Molecule: ribosomal RNA, 500 nt
Filed under: uncultured Glomeromycotina
Lineage: Eukaryota; Fungi; Glomeromycota
Description: partial small subunit ribosomal RNA
Rfam family: Eukaryotic small subunit ribosomal RNA
Source: RNAcentral
CCAAUAGCGUAUAUUAAAGUUGUUGCAGUUAAAAAGCUCGUAGUUGAAUUUCGGGGUUAGCAGGUUGGUCGUGCCAAUGGUAUGCACUGGCCUUGCUGAUUCCUCCCUCUUGAUGAGCCGUAAUGCCAUUAAUUUGGUGUUGCGGGGAAUCAGGACUGUUACUUUGAAAAAAUUAGAGUGUUUAAAGCAGGCAAGCGCUUGAAUACAUUAGCAUGGAAUAAUGAAAUAGGACGUUUAAUCCUAUUUUGUUGGUUUCUAGGAUUGACGUAAUGAUUAAUAGGGAUAGUUGGGGGCAUUAGUAUUCAAUUGUCAGAGGUGAAAUUCUUGGAUUUAUUGAAGACUAACUACUGCGAAAGCAUUUGCCAAGGAUGUUUUCAUUAAUCAAGAACGAAAGUUAGGGGAUCGAAGACGAUCAGAUACCGUCGUAGUCUUAACCAUAAACUAUGCCGACUAGGGAUCGGAUGAUGUUAAUUUUUUAAUGACUCAUUCGGCGCCUUACG